CUUGAAGGUGCGUUGCACCAUGUCCUCUGGAAUCUCUUCCAAUGCAUCGCAAACCCACUCUGCUAUCAAUUCUAUGUCAGGCUUCAUCAGAUUUCCAACUUUUGUCAGUCAGGCUUGACCAGAUGACAUCCAUUCAUGCCACAUCUUUCGCACACAGUCUUUGAAAGGUUUAUUUAAACACACAUCUAGGGGCUGCAAUACAGAUGUAAACCCACCUGGAAUAACAGCCAAAGUAACUUGAGAAGAGUUUGCCAAUGUUUUUAUGUCAUAAGAUGUGUGAUCCCAAACUAGCAAUGAUGUUUUUCUUUAAGACUGC
Non-coding RNA from Pelobates cultripes (western spadefoot toad), 316 nucleotides. The record is from the annotation of a GenBank genome assembly. NCBI's taxonomy places the organism in Eukaryota, Metazoa, Chordata, Amphibia, Anura, Pelobatidae.